RNAcentral lists this ribosomal RNA (758 nucleotides) under Halomonhystera disjuncta. RNAcentral describes it as "partial 18S ribosomal RNA". The record is from RNAcentral. Lineage: Eukaryota; Metazoa; Nematoda; Chromadorea; Monhysterida; Monhysteridae.
CGUAGGUGUCUGNCACGAUUANCAAUUUCACCUCUAACGUGGCAGUACGGAAUGNNCCCGUCUGUCCCUCUUAAUCAUUACUUUCGUUCUUAAAACCAACAAAAUAGAACGUAAGUCCUAUUCUAUUAUUCCAUGCAGAACUAUACAAGCGAAACGCCUGUAUUGAGCACUUUAAUUUGUUCAAAGUAAACUUGACNGCCGCCGCUGACACCCAAUGAAGAGCAUCAACGACAAACUGACGAUAAUGUACCGCAUCACAGUAGUAGCCGAAAGGCCACACUGCGUGCUAAGUACGCGAAUCAAACUACGAGCUUUUUAACCGCAACAGCAUAGAUAUAUGCUUGCGGAGCUGGAAUUACCGCGGCUGCUGGCACCAGACUUGCCCUCCACUAGAUCCUCACCGAAAGUUUUACAUUCGGCCCAUUCCAAUGACGACACCCGAAAGGGCAUCGCCUCGGUAUGUUUCGUCACUACAUCCUCGUGCUGAGAUGGUGUAAUUUGCGCGCCUGCUGCCUUCCUUAGAAGUGGUAGCCGUUUCUCAGGCUCCCUCUCCGGAGUCAAACCCUGAUUCUCCGUUACCCGUUACAACCAUGGUAGUCACAUAAACUACCAUCGACAGUUGAUAAGGUAGACACUUGAAAGAUAUGUCGCCGGCACUAGACCGUGCGAUCAGCUGAGUUAUUUAGAGUCACCAAGUAAACGGCCGAACCGAUUGGUCUUGAUCAAAUAAAUGCAAGCGUCCCGUGAGGUCGGCUCUU